UACGGAAGGCAGCAGUGGGGAAUAUUGCACAAUGGGCGCAAGCCUGAUGCAGCCAUGCCGCGUGUAUGAAGAAGGCCUUCGGGUUGUAAAGUACUUUCAGUCGUGAGGAAGGUGUUAAGGUUAAUAACCUUAGCAAUUGACGUUAGCGACAGAAGAAGCACCGGCUAACUCCGUGCCAGCAGCCGCGGUAAUACGGAGGGUGCGAGCGUUAAUCGGAAUUACUGGGCGUAAAGGGCACGCAGGCGGUUAAUUAAGUUGGAUGUGAAAUCCCCGGGCUUAACCUAGGAAUGGCAUUCAAGACUGGUUAGCUAGAGUCUUGUAGAGGGGGUAGAAUUCCAUGUGUAGCGGUGAAAUGCGUAGAGAUGUGGAGGAAUACCGGUGGCGAAGGCGGCCCCUGGACAAAGACUGACGCUCAUGUGCGAAAGCGUGGGGAGCAAAC
This 439-nucleotide ribosomal RNA is filed under the name uncultured bacterium. RNAcentral describes it as "bacterial SSU rRNA". It matches the Rfam family "Bacterial small subunit ribosomal RNA", at positions 340 to 773 of the family's 1533-position model. The record is from RNAcentral.